AUUUGUAAAAGUUGUUUCCCUUUUAUCAAAAAACAUAACUUCCGGGUGUGAAACUUAAGCAAGAUUUAGCUGCUGGUUACGAUUUAUUGACAGAUUUUGGUCCAUAUUUUAAUUCUGUUUUACCAAUGGAGCCUAACAAAAGACUGAUACAAGAGCAGAGGGUGCUGGAACAGGAACUGAAAUCUCUCCCUAAAACAGCGAAAGUGUAUAAGCAGCAACAGAAUAGUCAAAUUUUCUUCAGAACAAGUAAAGACAAGGCUUUCGAGGAAUGUAAAAGAACACUAGAUAGCUUGGUACAAGAAUAUAAAGAUGUUGAAACACCUCCAGACAUAGAACAAAAAUAGCGUGAACAGUGUUCAUUUUAAAAUCAUAUCAUGUGUUUGAAUCAUUCAAGAGUAUAUGAUCAACGCAUGAUGCCUGAUCUCAUGUGAUGAAAACAAAGGAGAAACUGAUGAAAACUGACAUUCAGUAGUUCCAUGAGAGUGAAUGUUAUUGCUAUAAUCGACAACGAGACUGUAAAGAGUGCUAUUUUAGUAUUAGACGGAAACUGGUGAAACACUUCUGAAUGGCUUUGUGUUCUUGAUGCUGAUUUUCUGCAGCUUUCAUAAGAUACUAAUGACUGUGCAAAUAUUAAAGCAAAAUUCCAUUGUUUAUAGUAAUCGCUCAUCUCCUGUUUAUAUAUAUAGUUUUGUUAAAUACACUUACAAGUUUUU
Molecule: long non-coding RNA, 713 nt
Organism: Mercenaria mercenaria
Lineage: Eukaryota; Metazoa; Mollusca; Bivalvia; Venerida; Veneridae
Exons: 4
Source: RefSeq, a predicted model, not a curated record